This 522-nucleotide ribosomal RNA is filed under the name uncultured bacterium. Its description in RNAcentral is "bacterial SSU rRNA". It matches the Rfam family "Bacterial small subunit ribosomal RNA", at positions 773 to 1299 of the family's 1533-position model. The record is from RNAcentral.
AGUGAAUAGAUACCCCGGUAGUCCACGCUGUAAACGAUGAUUACUCGAUGUUGGCGAUACACAGUCAGCGUCUGAACGAAAGUAUUAAGUAAUCCACCUGGGGAGUACGUUCGCAAGGAUGAAACUCAAAGGAAUUGACGGGGGCCCGCACAAGCGGAGGAGCAUGUGGUUUAAUUCGAUGAUACGCGAGGAACCUUACCUAGACUUAAAUGUAGAUUGACCGAUGGGGAAACCUGUUUUUCAGCAAUGACAAUUUACAAGGUGCUGCAUGGUUGUCGUCAGCUCGUGCCGUGAGGUGUCAGGUUAAGUCCUAUAACGAGCGCAACCCCUAUUCUUAGUUGCCAGCAUGUCAUGAUGGGGACUCUAAGGAAACUGCCUACGCAAGUAGAGAGGAAGGUGGGGAUGACGUCAAAUCAGCACGGCCCUUACGUCUAGGGCUACACACGUGCUACAAUGGUAGGUACAGAGGGCAGCUACACGGUGACGUGAUGCCAAUCUCCAAAGCCUAUCUCAGUUCGGAUC